UGGGGAAUAUUGCACAAUGGGCGCAAGCCUGAUGCAGCCAUGCCGCGUGUAUGAAGAAGGCCUUCGGGUUGUAAAGUACUUUCAGUCGGGAGGAAGGUGUCAAGGUUAAUAACCUUGGCAAUUGACGUUACCGACAGAAGAAGCACCGGCUAACUCCGUGCCAGCAACCGCGGUAAUACGGAGGGUGCAAGCGUUAAUCGGAAUUACUGGGCGUAAAGCGCACGCAGGCGGUUGAUUGAGUCAGAUGUGAAAUCCCCGGGCUUAACCCGGGAAUUGCAUCUGAUACUGGUCAGCUAGAGUCUUGUAGAGGGGGGUAGAAUUCCAUGUGUAGCGGUGAAAUGCGUAGAGAUGUGGAGGAAUACCGGUGGCGAAGGCGGCCCCCUGGACAAAGACUGACGCUCAGGUGCGAAAGCGUGGGGAGCAAACAGG
This 429-nucleotide ribosomal RNA is filed under the name Chloroflexota bacterium. Its description in RNAcentral is "Chloroflexi bacterium partial 16S ribosomal RNA". It matches the Rfam family "Bacterial small subunit ribosomal RNA", at positions 355 to 776 of the family's 1533-position model. The record is from RNAcentral. Lineage: Bacteria; Bacillati; Chloroflexota.